Molecule: ribosomal RNA, 460 nt
Filed under: uncultured bacterium
Lineage: Bacteria
Description: partial 16S ribosomal RNA
Rfam family: Bacterial small subunit ribosomal RNA
Source: RNAcentral
CCUACGGGAGGCAGCAGUGAGGAAUAUUGGUCAAUGGACGAGAGUCUGAACCAGCCAAGUAGCGUGAAGGAUGACUGCGCUAUGGGUUGUAAACUUCUUUUAUAAAGGAAUAAAACGAGGCACGUGUGCCUUUUUGCAUGUACUUUAUGAAUAAGCAUCGGCUAACUCCGUGCCAGCAGCCGCGGUAAUACGGAGGAUCCGAGCGUUAUCCGGAUUUAUUGGGUUUAAAGGGAGCGUAGGUGGGAUGUUAAGUCAGUUGGUAAAGUUUGGAGCUCAAACGUAAAAUUGCAAUUGAUACUGGCAGUCUUGAGUACAGGUGAGGUAGGCGGAAUUCGUGGUGGAGCGGUGAAAUGCUUAGAUAUCACGAAGAACCCCGAUUGCGAAGGCAGCUUACUAGACUGUGACUGACAUUGAUGCUCGAAAGUGUGGGUAUCAAACAGGAUUAGAUACCCCGGUAGUC